Gossypium raimondii (Peruvian cotton) is the source of this 105-nucleotide small nucleolar RNA. It matches the Rfam family "Plant small nucleolar RNA R71". Rfam says of the family: R71 is a member of the C/D box family of snoRNAs containing the C (UGAUGA) and D (CUGA) box motifs. Multiple nearly identical copies of this snoRNA have been identified in Arabidopsis, and it is thought to function as a 2'-O-ribose methylation guide for 18S ribosomal RNA. Lineage: Eukaryota; Viridiplantae; Streptophyta; Magnoliopsida; Malvales; Malvaceae. The record is from Rfam.
AGUCUAUGGUGUGGGCACUUCCCCAUCAUUGUCUUGAAACGCUCCCACUCCUCGUACAAGGUCUCACAUUCGUAUUGGUUAAAGUUGGUGAUUUCUCCCCUGAAU